GCAUUGCUGGGUAGCUAAAUGCGGAAGAGAUAAGUGCUGAAAGCAUCUAAGCACGAAACUUGCCAAGAGAUGAGUCAUCCCUGACUUUAAGUCAGUAAGGGUUGUUGUAGACUACGACGUAGAUAGGUCAGGUGUGUAAGUGUAGUGAUGCAUUGAGCUAACAGAUACUAAUUGCCCGAGAGGCUUAACUAUACAACGCUCAAG
RNAcentral lists this ribosomal RNA (204 nucleotides) under Haemophilus influenzae. RNAcentral describes it as "partial 23S ribosomal RNA". It matches the Rfam family "Bacterial large subunit ribosomal RNA", at positions 2735 to 2925 of the family's 2925-position model. Lineage: Bacteria; Pseudomonadati; Pseudomonadota; Gammaproteobacteria; Pasteurellales; Pasteurellaceae. The record is from RNAcentral.